CGUGAAGGCUCUUCCGCUGUGAGCCUGCUUCUUCCUCUCCCACUCCCCCUGCUUGUGUUCCCUCUCUCGCUGGCUGUCUUUCUGUCGAAUAAAUAAAUGAAAUCUUAAAAAAAAAAAAAAACACAAAACAAAUCAAUAGCUGAGAAGGAAUGCUUGCUGUAACUUUCUGUUUGUCGCCUCCUAACAUUGCGUGUGUGUGCUCUCUUUCUCUCUCUCUCUCUCAAAGCCUGGGAUUUCUCCAGUGAUCAUGUGGGUAAAAUCAAGUUGUAUUUCAUUUUUCAGAAUAGACCCAGAAUCUGGUUGUGAUUCAAGAUGGAGGCCCUGGUCCUUGGGAGAGCUGGUGGGAGCUAGGCAGGUGUUACCUUUAGACCUGCAGUGUCAGGCAAAUGAUAGUGGAACUGGGAACAGGUGGGGCCUGUUUACCUUAACCACGUGAAGGCCAGUUAUCAGAACAGGGGCCCAAACAAAGUCAGAACCAGUCAGAGGAAUCCCAGGAUAUAAGGACAAGCUCAGGGUAGCUGGCACGGUGGUUCCCCUGAACUUGGGCUUUGAAUCACCUCAGAGAAUGUAUGUCUUCUUUCCCACACAUUCAACUUCAAAGUGAAGGCUUUCAGAAAGAUAACAGUCUCUCCUCAAAAUCAGAGAAGACCUAGGUAUCACCAGGCCGUUUCUGAAGUAGGCAAGAGGAGAACCACAUGUUCCAAUUCUAAUGGGACUUUGCUAAAGGGUCAGGAAAGCCGAACAGUAAAAGGUGGAUGAGACGAUGUGCUUUAAGAUGCUGGACCCAGCCUGGGCUGCCCAGAUUACUUUCUCUGCGUGUGUGGAGUGGGCCAGGCUGGAGGCCUGCAUGUUUCCAGAUUCUUGACCCAGCUGUAUAUGGAAGCCUGAGAUCUUCCAAACAUGAAGCAGAAGGUCAAAGGAGCUCUCGCCCUACCAGACCUGCUUACAUUUCCCUGAAAACAUUGCUGUAGCAAUCCAAGGCCAACCGAUCCAUCAAGAGCAGCAGUUUUCUUGAGAACAGAAGUGUGAAUUAUUUGUAGCAUGUAACGUCUUGCUUCAUAUCCACCUGUUGGGUCCGCAGACAUCUGUGGACCCUCCGUUACCAGCAGGCCUGUGAUAAGUGUUGUAUGAGAGAUACAAAGAUGAAUCAGGUACGGGCAUAUCUUGUUUUAUUGCUGUGCUUUAUUGUGCUUCACAGAUUUU
RNAcentral lists this long non-coding RNA (1203 nucleotides) under Ailuropoda melanoleuca (giant panda). RNAcentral's name for it is "lncRNA (ENSAMEG00000026156.1)". Lineage: Eukaryota; Metazoa; Chordata; Mammalia; Carnivora; Ursidae. The record is from RNAcentral.